RNAcentral lists this ribosomal RNA (978 nucleotides) under Microbacterium sp. A230GA. Its description in RNAcentral is "bacterial SSU rRNA". It matches the Rfam family "Bacterial small subunit ribosomal RNA", at positions 40 to 1032 of the family's 1533-position model. The record is from RNAcentral. Lineage: Bacteria; Bacillati; Actinomycetota; Actinomycetes; Micrococcales; Microbacteriaceae.
CGGCGUGCUUACACAUGCAGUCGAACGGUGAUGCCAAGCUUGCUUGGUGGAUCAGUGGCGAACGGGUGAGUAACACGUGAGCAACCUGCCCUGGACUCUGGGAUAAGCGCUGGAAACGGUGUCUAAUACUGGAUAUGAGCUCCUUCCGCAUGGUGGGGGUUGGAAAGAUUUUUCGGUCUGGGAUGGGCUCGCGGCCUAUCAGCUUGUUGGUGAGGUAAUGGCUCACCAAGGCGUCGACGGGUAGCCGGCCUGAGAGGGUGACCGGCCACACUGGGACUGAGACACGGCCCAGACUCCUACGGGAGGCAGCAGUGGGGAAUAUUGCACAAUGGGCGGAAGCCUGAUGCAGCAACGCCGCGUGAGGGAUGACGGCCUUCGGGUUGUAAACCUCUUUUAGCAGGGAAGAAGCUUUUGUGACGGUACCUGCAGAAAAAGCGCCGGCUAACUACGUGCCAGCAGCCGCGGUAAUACGUAGGGCGCAAGCGUUAUCCGGAAUUAUUGGGCGUAAAGAGCUCGUAGGCGGUUUGUCGCGUCUGCUGUGAAAUCCCGAGGCUCAACCUCGGGCCUGCAGUGGGUACGGGCAGACUAGAGUGCGGUAGGGGAGAUUGGAAUUCCUGGUGUAGCGGUGGAAUGCGCAGAUAUCAGGAGGAACACCGAUGGCGAAGGCAGAUCUCUGGGCCGUAACUGACGCUGAGGAGCGAAAGGGUGGGGAGCAAACAGGCUUAGAUACCCUGGUAGUCCACCCCGUAAACGUUGGGAACUAGUUGUGGGGACCAUUCCACGGUUUCCGUGACGCAGCUAACGCAUUAAGUUCCCCGCCUGGGGAGUACGGCCGCAAGGCUAAAACUCAAAGGAAUUGACGGGGACCCGCACAAGCGGCGGAGCAUGCGGAUUAAUUCGAUGCAACGCGAAGAACCUUACCAAGGCUUGACAUACACCAGAACACCGUAGAAAUACGGGACUCUUUGGACACUGGUG